This is a non-coding RNA of Salmo salar (Atlantic salmon), 58 nucleotides long. Lineage: Eukaryota; Metazoa; Chordata; Actinopteri; Salmoniformes; Salmonidae. The record is from Rfam.
UAGCUCCGUUGGUAGAGCAUGGUGUUUGCAAUGCCAGGGUUGUGGGUUCGAUUCCCAC